This 334-nucleotide unclassified non-coding RNA is filed under the name soil metagenome. RNAcentral describes it as "partial contains 5.8S ribosomal RNA, internal transcribed spacer 2, and large subunit ribosomal RNA". The stretch from base 1 to 120 matches the Rfam family "5.8S ribosomal RNA", at positions 35 to 154 of the family's 154-position model. The record is from RNAcentral.
GAUGAAGAACGUAGCGAAAUGCGAUACGUAAUGUGAAUUGCAGAAUUCAGUGAAUCAUCGAAUCUUUGAACGCACAUUGCGCCUGCCAGCACUCUGGCAGGCAUGCCUGUUCGAGCGUCAUUUCAACCAUCAAGCCCUAGGCUUGCGUUGGAGCCCUGCGGCUGCCGCAGGCCCCUAAAAGCAGUGGCGGGCUCGCUAUCACACCGAGUGCAGUAGAUUACUCUUCGCUCAGGGCGUGUGGCGGGUUCCGGCCGUGAAACCCCCUACUUCUCAAGGUUGACCUCGGAUCAGGUAGGAAUACCCGCUGAACUUAAGCAUAUCAAUAAGCGGAGGA